UACGUAGGGUCCGAGCGUUGUCCGGAAUUAUUGGGCGUAAAGGGCUCGUAGGCGGUCUGUUGCGUCGGGAGUGAAAACUUACAGCUUAACUGUGAGCGUGCUUUCGAUACGGGCAGACUUGAGGCAUUCAGGGGAGAACGGAAUUCCUGGUGUAGCGGUGAAAUGCGCAGAUAUCAGGAGGAACACCGGUGGCGAAGGCGGCAUCCUGGACCGACACUGACGCUGAGGCGCGAAAGCUAGGGUAGCAAACGGG
RNAcentral lists this ribosomal RNA (253 nucleotides) under uncultured bacterium. Its description in RNAcentral is "partial 16S ribosomal RNA". It matches the Rfam family "Bacterial small subunit ribosomal RNA", at positions 524 to 776 of the family's 1533-position model. The record is from RNAcentral.